AUGCAGCCUGGACCACCUGCUUGCUUGUACACAGCCCUAGCCUUCAUCUGCCUUGGUCCCAGCAAUGUUGAGGGCGUCGAUCUAUCUACAAACAAAGUGUAUAAGAAAGAGGGGGAGUCUGUGACCAUGGAAUGCAAGUUCUCAGUCAGCUCUAUUUACUACUAUAUGAUGUACUGGUAUCGACAGCUUUCCAGUGGAAAGAUAACUCUUUGUGUGAUUAAUAUUUAUUCUUAUAAGCGGCAUUCAUGUGACGGACGAUAUACUGUAAAGUUUUACAAUCCAACCCUGAAGCUCACGAUCUCGGUUUUGAUGCUUAGCGACUCGGCCAUCUAUCACUGCGCUAUCGCAGAGGUCCACGGUGAGGGUGGUGACAGGGAGUGCCUUACAAAAACCCCCAGGCUCAGCACAAGACAGCCACCUGCUCCUGGAGUCAGGAAGAGAACAACCCACAGGACAGGAAGAGGGUAGACACAGGCACGGUGGGUGGCUCUGCUGGGUCUAGAGAGGAGCCAGUGAUUGAUCUAGGAAUGAUCUUGCCACAUUUGCUGUCAAAGAAGGAGUGGCUGCAAGCACCUAACCUCAAGAGCAUUUUCAUUUCCAAUCUAGUGCCUAAGUGUAGCCCAUCAAAGGGUGCCUCUGUCAUUUCUGCCAGCCCAAAGCCCACCUCCCUUUUCGGGUGACAGCACCUUGAUUUUCCCUGGAUAACAAGACUCCCCUCCUCCUACCCCACGUGUGGGUUUGUAUGAGGCU
Vicugna pacos (alpaca) is the source of this 750-nucleotide non-coding RNA. NCBI's taxonomy places the organism in Eukaryota, Metazoa, Chordata, Mammalia, Artiodactyla, Camelidae. The record is from the annotation of a RefSeq genome assembly.